CCCUCGUCGGCCUCUUCACCCCUUCAUUUCCACUCUUUCCCCAUUCCCUUCCAAAUCCCUACACUAGGGAAACCCUAGUUCUUCGUCGCCUCCUUCCUCCUCGACGACGAGCCCUCGUCGCUCCUUUGCGAGGCUCCUGCUCCGGCGGCGGUCCGGUGAGGCGCGACGCGUCGCCUCACUCUCGGUCUUCUUCCCACUUCUCACUCGGUUCUUGCUCGAUUCACCCCCACAUCGACAUCUCGCUCGAUGCCAUCUUACCCAUUUAAGCAAGUUUUGGUCUCCAACCUUGAAGCAUGAGGGGCUGAUCAUCUACGGCGAUCAACACGUUGCCUCGGCCCAACGUCCGUCAGCAGUCGAGGCAACAACUGGUGCUGAAAGUGCCGAAGCUAGUUCUCUUUUCUUUCCCUUUUUGUAAUAGAGUAGUUUCACGUGUAAAUUUUCUUUCUUCAACAUGUAAUAGCUAGUUGGUGUAUGUUUCAUUUUUUUCCUUUAUUUUCAUCGUCGAUAUUUGUAAUCCAAGACUUCGCUAUUAAAUCUAGAUGUUGUGUUUUGUUUACUCAAGAAAUAAAUGAAUACUCUCUCGUC
Salvia splendens (bonfire salvia) is the source of this 585-nucleotide long non-coding RNA. RefSeq lists it as uncharacterized. The record is from RefSeq and is a predicted model, not a curated record. The transcript is spliced from 2 exons. Lineage: Eukaryota; Viridiplantae; Streptophyta; Magnoliopsida; Lamiales; Lamiaceae.